GGAUGUGUAGCUCAGUUAGUAGAGUGCUUGGCUAGCAUCCAUGAAGUCCUGGGUUCAAUCCCCAGCACCA
Molecule: transfer RNA, 70 nt
Filed under: Cricetulus griseus (Chinese hamster)
Lineage: Eukaryota; Metazoa; Chordata; Mammalia; Rodentia; Cricetidae
Rfam family: tRNA
About the family: Transfer RNA (tRNA) molecules are approximately 80 nucleotides in length. Their secondary structure includes four short double-helical elements and three loops (D, anti-codon, and T loops). Further hydrogen bonds mediate the characteristic L-shaped molecular structure. tRNAs have two regions of fundamental functional importance: the anti-codon, which is responsible for specific mRNA codon recognition, and the 3' end, to which the tRNAs corresponding amino acid is attached (by aminoacyl-tRNA synthetases). tRNAs cope with the degeneracy of the genetic code in two manners: having more than one tRNA (with a specific anti-codon) for a particular amino acid; and 'wobble' base-pairing, i.e. permitting non-standard base-pairing at the 3rd anti-codon position.
Source: Rfam by way of RNAcentral